GCUGGGUGUGGUGGUGCGUCCCUGUAGUCCCAGCUACUCAGGAGGCUGAGGCUGGAGGAUUGCUUGAGUCCAGGAGUUCUGGGCUGAAGUGUUCUAUGCCGAUCAGGUGUCCGCACUAAGUUUGGCAUCAAUAUGGUGACCUUCUGGGAGUGGGGGAUCACCAGGUUACCUAAGGAGGGGUGAACCAUCCAGGUAGGAAAUGGAGCAGGUCAAAACUCCCGUGCUGAUCAGUAGCAGGAUCGCGCCUGUGAAUAGCCACUGCACUCCAGCCUGGGCAACAUAGUGAGACCCCGUCACU
RNAcentral lists this signal recognition particle RNA (298 nucleotides) under Cebus imitator (Panamanian white-faced capuchin). RNAcentral describes it as "Metazoan signal recognition particle RNA (ENSCCAG00000002086.1)". It matches the Rfam family "Metazoan signal recognition particle RNA". From Rfam's summary of the family: The signal recognition particle (SRP) is a universally conserved ribonucleoprotein. It is involved in the co-translational targeting of proteins to membranes. The eukaryotic SRP consists of a 300-nucleotide 7S RNA and six proteins: SRPs 72, 68, 54, 19, 14, and 9. Lineage: Eukaryota; Metazoa; Chordata; Mammalia; Primates; Cebidae. The record is from RNAcentral.